Molecule: ribosomal RNA, 336 nt
Filed under: Triticum aestivum (bread wheat)
Lineage: Eukaryota; Viridiplantae; Streptophyta; Magnoliopsida; Poales; Poaceae
Description: partial small subunit ribosomal RNA
Source: RNAcentral
AUGGUGAGCUUAUCUGGCAAUCCUAGAUGCUCGUUCUGCAGAGACGUUGAGACAUCGCAACAUCUGUUUUUCACUUGUCCCGUUGCUCUGGUGGUUUGGAGGACGGUCGGGUGUGUGUUGGGCACGGCUCUAUGCCCGAACAACAUUUGGCAAUACUUCUCCUGGUGCUAUGUUUUCCUACCAGAUGGAGCCAGGUUCUAUACCUUUGGCUUGGCAGCCGUGUGCUGGGCGAUCUGGAAUUGUCGCAACCAGGCUACCUUUGAACAGAAACAUCUUAAGACUCCAUUUAACGUGGUAUAUUCUGCUUGUGGUUUUUUGACAUAUUGGGUAAUUUGA